Molecule: ribosomal RNA, 497 nt
Filed under: uncultured bacterium
Lineage: Bacteria
Description: partial 16S ribosomal RNA
Rfam family: Bacterial small subunit ribosomal RNA
Source: RNAcentral
GAUGAACGCUGGCGGCGUGCCUAAUACAUGCAAGUCGAGCGAACGGACGAGAAGCUUGCUUCUCUGAUGUUAGCGGCGGACGGGUGAGUAACACGUGGAUAACCUACCUAUAAGACUGGGAUAACUUCGGGAAACCGGAGCUAAUACCGGAUAAUAUUUUGAACCGCAUGGUUCAAAAGUGAAAGACGGUCUUGCUGUCACUUAUAGAUGGAUCCGCGCUGCAUUAGCUAGUUGGUAAGGUAACGGCUUACCAAGGCAACGAUGCAUAGCCGACCUGAGAGGGUGAUCGGCCACACUGGAACUGAGACACGGUCCAGACUCCUACGGGAGGCAGCAGUAGGGAAUCUUCCGCAAUGGGCGAAAGCCUGACGGAGCAACGCCGCGUGAGUGAUGAAGGCCUUCGGAUCAUAAAACUCUGUUAUUAGGGAAGAACAUAUGUGUAAGUAACUGUGCACAUCUUGACGGUACCUAAUCAGAAAGCCACGGCUAACUACGUG